Molecule: transfer RNA, 81 nt
Filed under: Aureobasidium namibiae CBS 147.97
Lineage: Eukaryota; Fungi; Ascomycota; Dothideomycetes; Dothideales; Saccotheciaceae
Rfam family: tRNA
About the family: Transfer RNA (tRNA) molecules are approximately 80 nucleotides in length. Their secondary structure includes four short double-helical elements and three loops (D, anti-codon, and T loops). Further hydrogen bonds mediate the characteristic L-shaped molecular structure. tRNAs have two regions of fundamental functional importance: the anti-codon, which is responsible for specific mRNA codon recognition, and the 3' end, to which the tRNAs corresponding amino acid is attached (by aminoacyl-tRNA synthetases). tRNAs cope with the degeneracy of the genetic code in two manners: having more than one tRNA (with a specific anti-codon) for a particular amino acid; and 'wobble' base-pairing, i.e. permitting non-standard base-pairing at the 3rd anti-codon position.
Source: Rfam by way of RNAcentral
GGCGCUUUGGCGGAGUGGUUAACGCGAUGCCCUGCUAAGGCAUUUCCUUCGGGAGCGCAGGUUCGAAUCCUGCAGGCGUCG